CCUACGGGAGGCAGCAGUGGGGAAUAUUGCACAAUGGGGGAAACCCUGAUGCAGCAACGCCGCGUGAAGGAAGACGGUUUUCGGAUUGUAAACUUCUGUUCUUAGUGAAGAAUAAUGACGGUACCUGAGUAAGAAGCCCCGGCUAACUACGUGCCAGCAGCCGCGGUAAUACGUAGGGGGCAAGCGUUAUCCGGAUUUACUGGGUGUAAAGGGAGCGUAGACGGCGAUACAAGUCUGAAGUGAAAGCCCGGGGCUCAACCCCGGGACUGCUUUGGAAACUGUGUUGCUGGAGUGCUGGAGAGGCAAGCGGAAUUCCUAGUGUAGCGGUGAAAUGCGUAGAUAUUAGGAAGAACACCAGUGGCGAAGGCGGCUUGCUGGACAGUAACUGACGUUGAGGCUCGAAAGCGUGGGGAGCAAACAGGAUUAGAUACCCCAGUAGUC
This 441-nucleotide ribosomal RNA is filed under the name uncultured bacterium. RNAcentral describes it as "partial 16S ribosomal RNA". It matches the Rfam family "Bacterial small subunit ribosomal RNA", at positions 338 to 795 of the family's 1533-position model. The record is from RNAcentral.